UAUAUAUUCCCUCCGUCCCAAAAUUCUUGCCUUAGAUUUGUUUAGAUAUGAAUGUAUGUAGUCACGUUUUAGUAUUAAGAUACAUUCAUUUUUAGACAAACUUAAGACAAGAAAUUUGAGACGGAGGUAGUAAUAU
Non-coding RNA from Hordeum vulgare subsp. vulgare (domesticated barley), 136 nucleotides. The record is from Rfam. NCBI's taxonomy places the organism in Eukaryota, Viridiplantae, Streptophyta, Magnoliopsida, Poales, Poaceae.